This 207-nucleotide ribosomal RNA is filed under the name Clostridioides difficile. RNAcentral's name for it is "partial 23S ribosomal RNA". It matches the Rfam family "Bacterial large subunit ribosomal RNA", at positions 243 to 451 of the family's 2925-position model. Lineage: Bacteria; Bacillati; Bacillota; Clostridia; Peptostreptococcales; Peptostreptococcaceae. The record is from RNAcentral.
GUAGCGGCGAGCGAACGCGGAUUAGCCCAAACCAAUAAAGUUUUCUUUAUUGGGGUUGCGGACAUAUCAUAACGAAGAGAUAUCGUAAUUGAAGAGGUUUGGAAAGACCCACCACAGAAGGUAAUAGUCCUGUAUGUUAAACGAGAAGACUUUAGAUAUGAUCCAGAGUACCACGGGACACGUGAAACCCUGUGGGAAGCAGGAGGG